GAGUUGGGCGCCAUGGCUGCCUUCUGGGCAGAGUGCAGGGCCUGCCUUAAAUGUUGUGGGGGUUCUGUUCUCAACAAAGGCGUAAGUUGGGAGCGACUGAGCCACUCCAGGAGGAGGUGUGGGCCCACGGCGUGUUGGAGGUGGAGCCACAGGACCUGUCCAUAGGUUGGAUGCUGUGUGGGUGACAGAGAGAAACCGGGGCUCACGGCCUGGGCAGCGGGACGGGCGGAGUCGUCCUCACCUGUGCUGGGGACCCUGUGGGAGCAGCAGGCUUCCGAGCACGUGCUGGACCCCGGCGUCUCCGGCUGCACCGAGUGGUCAGGACAUUGAGGCCGGGUCAGGGAGCGUGAGAUACCGGGACGAGCGGGCCCAGGGCUGAGCCCAGCGGCGUCCGGGUGGGCGGUGGCGUUGAGAUGGGAAUUGGGAAUUGCACCGGUGGUCUCAGGAGGAUGGAAAACCCAAGCAGCAGCUGCACCAGGACCGAGGCAAAGGGACCGCAGUUUAACAGAAAACCCAAAACGAGAGCGAGAAAACGGCCAAACACCCGUGCGAGUGAGACGUCCAUGAGCCUUCCCGGCAAAACGCCCAAUAAGGGAGAAGGGGCAGGCGCGGCGGGGGCCGGGGUUCCCUGAAGUCCCCUUCGUUUCCAGAAUCCCUAAAGAUCAUUCCGCCCCCCAGGGAGGAAACCCAAGCUCCGCCGAGCGCGGCGGGUCUGUGCCUUCGCUUCGCUUCCAGCCUCUCGCUUCCUUCUGACCCGACCCCGAGUUCUUUCUCCGGACGGUGUCGAGAACCCGGGCGCCGGCUGGGGCUGGAGUCUCGCUGGCCUCGGAGCGCCCCCGAGCCCUCGGGCGACAGCGAGGCGAGGACCCAGGGAACGCCAGGCCCCCGGACGCGACCCACGCGGCCGCU
RNAcentral lists this long non-coding RNA (909 nucleotides) under Homo sapiens (human). RNAcentral describes it as "non-protein coding lnc-PGGHG-1:8". Lineage: Eukaryota; Metazoa; Chordata; Mammalia; Primates; Hominidae. The record is from RNAcentral.